Oryza glumipatula is the source of this 206-nucleotide non-coding RNA. The record is from Rfam. NCBI's taxonomy places the organism in Eukaryota, Viridiplantae, Streptophyta, Magnoliopsida, Poales, Poaceae.
AAAAAGACAAAUAAUGAGUUUCCGUGUCCAACUUUGACUGUCCGUCUUAUAUGAAAUUUUUUUAUAAUUUGUAUUUUUAUUGUUGUUAGAUGAUAAAACAUGAUUAAUAUUUUAUGCGUGACUUGUCUUUUUAAUUUUUUUUCAUAAUUUUUUUAAAUAAGACGGACGGUCAAAUAUUGGACACGGAAACCAGGGUUUGUCUUUUU